GGAGAGUUGGCGCAACAGGUUAGCGCAAAAGUGUUAUACACUCAAGGUUGAAGGUUCAAGCCCUUCACUUUCUGCUA
RNAcentral lists this transfer RNA (77 nucleotides) under Caudoviricetes sp. RNAcentral's name for it is "tRNA-Ile". It matches the Rfam family "tRNA". Rfam says of the family: Transfer RNA (tRNA) molecules are approximately 80 nucleotides in length. Their secondary structure includes four short double-helical elements and three loops (D, anti-codon, and T loops). Lineage: Duplodnaviria; Heunggongvirae; Uroviricota; Caudoviricetes. The record is from RNAcentral.